This is a long non-coding RNA of Stegodyphus dumicola, 491 nucleotides long. RefSeq lists it as uncharacterized. The record is from RefSeq and is a predicted model, not a curated record. NCBI's taxonomy places the organism in Eukaryota, Metazoa, Arthropoda, Arachnida, Araneae, Eresidae.
AAAUAGUUGCUUUUGGAGAAGAAUAUGAGUCGAUGAUGUCAUGGAAGAGUAAACCUUUUAGUAUGGUUGUACGUUUUACCUUGAUUCUUUAUUUGUGAAAAUCAAUAAGAAAAGAACUCAACUGACCGAGAAGCAUCUGCAAUCCGUGAUGAAGGUGUUGAAUGUGUUGGCUGUAUGAAGAACUUCGAGAUGUUUUCCUCCUGUGCACUACAAACCCUGGUCAGAUUCCAUUGGAAAGUUCUAUACAGAUUUGUCUUUCAUCAUUUCCAGCUUUAGACUAAAAAAGAGUAAUAAGCCUCCAGAUUUAGUACAAUAUGUAUCCGUUAAAUACAUUUUUCAGACCAGAAAUCCUGUAUUCUUCUUUAUGGUGCUACUUGAAGUCACGGGUAUGAAGAUAUCAUCCUAUGAUACUCGCAAUAUGAAAAAUGCUAAAUAUCAAUAAUUCUAAUAUGAAUUAUGCUACUGUUGUUCCAGGUUCUUUUGCAGUAAGU